GUGUCAGCAGCCGCGGUAAUACGGGGGAUGCAAGCGUUAUCCGGAAUUAUUGGGCGUAAAGGGUCCUGAGGUGGCUAGCCAAGUCUAUUGUGAAAUAUCAGGGCUUAACCCUGAACAUGCGGUGGAAACUAGAAAGCUUGAGUACAGUAGGGGCGGAGGGAAUUUCCGGUGGAGCGGUGAAAUGCAUAGAUAUCGGGAAGAACACCAACGGCGAAAGCACUCCGCUGGGCUGAUACUGACACUGACAGACGAAAGCUAGGGUAGCGAAAGGGAUUAGAUACCCCCGUAGUCC
This 292-nucleotide ribosomal RNA is filed under the name uncultured bacterium. Its description in RNAcentral is "partial 16S ribosomal RNA". It matches the Rfam family "Bacterial small subunit ribosomal RNA", at positions 505 to 796 of the family's 1533-position model. The record is from RNAcentral.